This 476-nucleotide ribosomal RNA is filed under the name uncultured bacterium. RNAcentral describes it as "bacterial SSU rRNA". It matches the Rfam family "Bacterial small subunit ribosomal RNA", at positions 35 to 507 of the family's 1533-position model. The record is from RNAcentral.
GACGAACGGCUGGCGGCGUGCCUAACACAUGCAAGUCGAGCGGAGAUACAUUGAAGAGCAAUCAGAUAUGUAUCUUAGCGGCGGACGGGUGAGUAACGCGUGGGCAACCUGCCUCAUACUGGGGGAUAACACAGGGAAACUUGUGCUAAUACCGCAUAAUAUCAUUAUAGGGCAUCCUGUGAUGAUCAAAGGAGCAAUCCGGUGUGAGAUGGGCCCGCGUCCAAUUAGCUAGUUGGUGGGGUAACGGCCCACCAAGGCGACGAUUGGUAGCCGAACUGAGAGGUUGAUCGGCCACAUUGGGACUGAGACACGGCCCAGACUCCUACGGGAGGCAGCAGUGGGGAAUAUUGCGCAAUGGGGGAAACCCUGACGCAGCAACGCCGCGUGAAGGAUGAAGGUCUUCGGAUUGUAAACUUCUUUGAUGAGGGACGAACACAAUGACGGUACCUCAAAAACAAGCCACGGCUAACUACGUG